This 503-nucleotide ribosomal RNA is filed under the name uncultured bacterium. RNAcentral describes it as "bacterial SSU rRNA". It matches the Rfam family "Bacterial small subunit ribosomal RNA", at positions 9 to 507 of the family's 1533-position model. The record is from RNAcentral.
GAGUUUGAUCCUCGGCUCAGAUUGAACGGCUGGCCGGGAUGCUUUACACAUGCAAGUCGGACGGCAGCACGGGCUUCGGCCUGGUGGCGAGUGGCGAACGGGUGAGUAAUGUAUCGGAACGUGCCCAGUAGCGGGGGAUAACUACGCGAAAGCGUAGCUAAUACCGCAUACGCCCUACGGGGGAAAGCGGGGGGACCUUCGGGCCUCGCAACUAUUGGAGCGGCCGAUAUCGGAUUAGCUAGUUGGUGGGGUAACGGCUCACCAAGGCGACGAUGUCUAGGGGCUCUGAGAGGAGAAUCCCCCACACUGGUACUGAGACACGGACCAGACUCCUACGGGAGGCAGCAGUAAGGAAUAUUGGUCAAUGGGCGGAAGCCUGAACCAGCCAUGCCGCGUGCAGGAUGACCGCCCUAUGGGUUGUAAACUGCUUUUGUCCAGGAAUAAACCUAGAUACGUGUAUCUAGCUGAAUGUACUGGAAGAAUAAGGAUCGGCUAACUCCGUG